Molecule: transfer RNA, 92 nt
Filed under: Candidatus Westeberhardia cardiocondylae
Lineage: Bacteria; Pseudomonadati; Pseudomonadota; Gammaproteobacteria; Enterobacterales; Enterobacteriaceae
Description: transfer RNA Serine
Rfam family: tRNA
About the family: Transfer RNA (tRNA) molecules are approximately 80 nucleotides in length. Their secondary structure includes four short double-helical elements and three loops (D, anti-codon, and T loops). Further hydrogen bonds mediate the characteristic L-shaped molecular structure. tRNAs have two regions of fundamental functional importance: the anti-codon, which is responsible for specific mRNA codon recognition, and the 3' end, to which the tRNAs corresponding amino acid is attached (by aminoacyl-tRNA synthetases). tRNAs cope with the degeneracy of the genetic code in two manners: having more than one tRNA (with a specific anti-codon) for a particular amino acid; and 'wobble' base-pairing, i.e. permitting non-standard base-pairing at the 3rd anti-codon position.
Source: RNAcentral
GGUGAAAUGGCCGAGUGGCUAAAGGCGUUCCCCUGCUAAGGGAAUAUACGAAUAAUAUCGUAUCGAGAGUUCGAAUCUCUCUUUCACCGUCA